RNAcentral lists this ribosomal RNA (489 nucleotides) under Triticum aestivum (bread wheat). RNAcentral describes it as "partial small subunit ribosomal RNA". Lineage: Eukaryota; Viridiplantae; Streptophyta; Magnoliopsida; Poales; Poaceae. The record is from RNAcentral.
AUGGGUAAUUCGAAAAGCAAGGCAGUUGAACCGCAACCAGAAGAGGACGUUACUAUGGGCCUUUCAAGCAUGAAAAAUGUUGAAGAUAACAAUGCAAGAAUCAUACCCGUAGCUCAAAGUGAUGAUGAAACGAAUGCUAUAGUUCUAGAAGGGACAUGUCCGGUUGGAGAGCACAAUGAGGCUUUGUUGUCGGCUCUGAGCACACUAACGGUGGAUUGUUGCACAGAUGAAUAUGAAGGAUCAAGAUCGCUACGGGAUGGAAAUCAUCGUGAUGCUACGUUGUUGGCUUCGAGUAAUCUAACUCUCGAUUCUGGCUCUAUUGGAGAUAUCACCUUGAAAGCUGUAGGCUGUGAACCUUCAAACAAUGAGAUAGAUGGUGCGACAAAACUAAAAGGAAAUCCCAACAUCCAUACUGACGUGUUCGGUAGUGGAUCCAACAUCCAUCAAUUAUUAUUUUUGCUUUAUGGGCUUUGUAGUUAUUACUUUUGA